RNAcentral lists this long non-coding RNA (1311 nucleotides) under Delphinapterus leucas (beluga whale). RNAcentral describes it as "lncRNA (ENSDLEG00000016135.1)". The record is from RNAcentral. Lineage: Eukaryota; Metazoa; Chordata; Mammalia; Artiodactyla; Monodontidae.
AUGGACCGGGCGGGGAGCCUCCAGGGUCCUCCAGCGCCCCGCUGGGCUUUCGAGGAACCCUGGGGCGGGUCCGGAUCGCUGCGCAGAGGCGAGGCAGGGCGGAGGGGAAGGGAGGGUACUGGGUUCCGGGAAGCAGCGCGGUGGGGGCGACCAGGGCCGGACCAGUGCAGCAUCCCCUGGACAGCUGUCAGCCCCCGGGACAGCGGGGGGCGGCGCCCUCGCGCACACACGCGGGCACAAAGACUCGCGCGCCCACGCUCCACCCUGCGGCUCCAGGAGGCGCCUCUGCCCGGACUGCACGCACACACACACUCCACCUGCAUACUCCCCGGCCUCUCGGGCACACCGGACGCUCAGGGCCGUGCGCGCCGGGCCAAGGCCCCCAGAGGCCCACACACUUGUGUGCACACACUCACAUACACACAUACCCAGACCGCGGGGCCACCGCGCAGCGCCCACUGCCCAGACACCGCACCCCCGCCACUCGCUCCCACGACCUCCCCGCGUCUUCACGCCGACGCCUCGGAGCGUGACGGGCGGCGGCUGGAUGCUCGGCCGCAGAACUCCCAGAGGCGCCCACGAACGGGGAGGUGGGCGCCUCUGCCGGCCGGUCGCCCCCUGCGCGCCCCAGCCCCGGAGCCCGGCCGGCGCCCUUCGCCGCCCCGCACUCCCUCUCCGCGCCAGCGCGCCCGCCCUCUCCGCCCCACACUCACUGUCUGCCCCGCUGCGGCUGCGGCUGCGGCCCGGGCUCCGGCGCGGCCUCGCCGGUGCCUGCCGGCUGGGCCGCGGAGGCGGCGGCAGCGGCAGGGGCGGAGCGGGCGGCCGCCGGUGCUGGGACCCCCUCCCGCCGCCAGAAGCCCCCCUCCUCCCGCAUUUAACCCCUCCAGCGCCGCGCUUCCCUCUGCUGUGCCUCGCCCUCGCCUCCGGCGCAGCUCUCCGCAGACCCUUACCUGCGGCUGCCCAGCCCCCCAGUCCUGGCCGGUCCCAGGAGAUGAGUGGCAGAGGAGCCCCGGAGGGGUCGCCGUUGGGUCAGGCCUGGAGUCUCAGACCGGGGCCCUGGUUCUGCCCUGUUGGCCAGCCAGCGUGGCCAGCGGCACGGCCCCAACUUGGACAUCAGCCGGCUCACCUCUUCGGACAGGCUCCACUCUAAUCUCCCAGCAUCUUCCAGGCCCACUACCAGGUGGGAAGGGCCCUCAGCUCCCCGCCCCGAGGGACAGCCUGGCCCUUGGGCUCUGCACUCAUGAGGGAGGAGACCCCAGGGGACAAAGGGGUGGGGGAUCCCCUGAGGCAACCUGGAAUUGGCCGAGGUAG